This 573-nucleotide long non-coding RNA is filed under the name Heterocephalus glaber (naked mole-rat). Its description in RNAcentral is "lncRNA (ENSHGLG00100034254.1)". The record is from RNAcentral. Lineage: Eukaryota; Metazoa; Chordata; Mammalia; Rodentia; Bathyergidae.
GGGAAAGCAGGCAGGCACAUUCGCAGCCCACUUGUCGUCCAUCCCUCAGGGUGGCUGGGGUCUCCCUACUCUUACCUUCCAGGUGAGGACGUGGGGUGUCCAUACUGUUGAAAGAAGAAGCACUGCCCCCCACCCAAGAUCCUGAUUUGUCUGCUGUGUGACCUCAGCCUUCUGGAGACAGAGCUCGAGGGAGGAGACUGGCGGGCAGCUGGGCAGCUGGGCAGCUGUGGACGGAGGCCGGGCACAACACAACCAGACUCUGCGAGAGUUGGUGCCAAGUCCAGCUCCAGGCAGCAGGACAAGGAUGCCGCCAAGCCUGGGGCUCGGGACAGGGAGGAAAGAUGCGGGCUGGCCCACUGUGUGCCCGGGGGUGAGGCACUGUGAAGAGGCUCCGGGUCGUGAGCGUCUGUACCAGGAAGCAGCGAGUGCAGAAUAAGGGGCCCAGAGCUGGAUUUAUCUGGACCUUUCCAUUAUCAUGCUAUGUGACCCUAGUCAAGCUCCUCACCCUCUCUGGCCCUUCUCUCCAGGAGUCAUGUCUUUGCUGAGACUGAAAUGAUUCUCUAACUCUGCCCU